This 73-nucleotide transfer RNA is filed under the name Zea mays. It matches the Rfam family "tRNA". From Rfam's summary of the family: Transfer RNA (tRNA) molecules are approximately 80 nucleotides in length. Their secondary structure includes four short double-helical elements and three loops (D, anti-codon, and T loops). Further hydrogen bonds mediate the characteristic L-shaped molecular structure. tRNAs have two regions of fundamental functional importance: the anti-codon, which is responsible for specific mRNA codon recognition, and the 3' end, to which the tRNAs corresponding amino acid is attached (by aminoacyl-tRNA synthetases). tRNAs cope with the degeneracy of the genetic code in two manners: having more than one tRNA (with a specific anti-codon) for a particular amino acid; and 'wobble' base-pairing, i.e. permitting non-standard base-pairing at the 3rd anti-codon position. Lineage: Eukaryota; Viridiplantae; Streptophyta; Magnoliopsida; Poales; Poaceae. The record is from Rfam by way of RNAcentral.
GCCUGUCUUGCUUAGUUGGCAAAACACAAGGCUCUUAACCUUGUUGUCGUGGGUUCGAGCCCCACGAUGGGUG